GAUGAACGCUGGCGGCGUGCCUAAUACAUGCAAGUCGAGCGAACGGACGAGAAGCUUGCUUCUCUGAUGUUAGCGGCGGACGGGUGAGUAACACGUGGAUAAUCUACCUAUAAGACUGGGAUAACUUCGGGAAACCGGAGCUAAUACCGGAUAAUAUUUUGAACCGCAUGGUUCAAAAGUGAAAGACGGUCUUGCUGUCACUUAUAGAUGGAUCCGCGCUGCAUUAGCUAGUUGGUAAGGUAACGGCUUACCAAGGCAACGAUGCAUAGCCGACCUGAGAGGGUGAUCGGCCACACUGGAACUGAGACACGGUCCAGACUCCUACGGGAGGCAGCAGUAGGGAAUCUUCCGCAAUGGGCGAAAGCCUGACGGAGCAACGCCGCGUGAGUGAUGAAGGUCUUCGGAUCGUAAAACUCUGUUAUUAGGGAAGAACAUAUGCGUAAGUAACUGUGCACAUCUUGACGGUACCUAAUCAGAAAGCCACGGCUAACUACGUG
RNAcentral lists this ribosomal RNA (497 nucleotides) under uncultured bacterium. Its description in RNAcentral is "partial 16S ribosomal RNA". It matches the Rfam family "Bacterial small subunit ribosomal RNA", at positions 28 to 507 of the family's 1533-position model. The record is from RNAcentral.